UCGAGCGAACAGACGAGGAGCUUGCUCCUCUGACGUUAGCGGCGGACGGGUGAGUAACACGUGGAUAACCUACCUAUAAGACUGGGAUAACUUCGGGAAACCGGAGCUAAUACCGGAUAAUAUAUUGAACCGCAUGGUUCAAUAGUGAGAGACGGUUUUGCUGUCACUUAUAGAUGGAUCCGCGCCGCAUUAGCUAGUUGGUAAGGUAACGGCUUACCAAGGCGACGAUGCGUAGCCGACCUGAGAGGGUGAUCGGCCACACUGGAACUGAGACACGGUCCAGACUCCUACGGGAGGCAGCAGUAGGGAAUCUUCCGCAAUGGGCGAAAGCCUGACGGAGCAACGCCGCGUGAGUGAUGAAGGUCUUCGGAUCGUAAAACUCUGUUAUUAGGGAAGAACAAAUGUGUAAGUAACUAUGCACGUCUUGACGGUACCUAAUCAGAAAGCCACGGCUAACUACGUGCCAGCAGCCGCGGUAAUACGUAGGUGGCAAGCGUUAUCCGGAAUUAUUGGGCGUAAAGCGCGCGUAGGCGGUUUUUUAAGUCUGAUGUGAAAGCCCACGGCUCAACCGUGGAGGGUCAUUGGAAACUGGAAAACUUGAGUGCAGAAGAGGAAAGUGGAAUUCCAUGUGUAGCGGUGAAAUGCGCAGAGAUAUGGAGGAACACCAGUGGCGAAGGCGACUUUCUGGUCUGUAACUGACGCUGAUGUGCGAAAGCGUGGGGAUCAAGCAG
Molecule: ribosomal RNA, 731 nt
Filed under: uncultured Staphylococcus sp.
Lineage: Bacteria; Bacillati; Bacillota; Bacilli; Caryophanales; Staphylococcaceae
Description: bacterial SSU rRNA
Rfam family: Bacterial small subunit ribosomal RNA
Source: RNAcentral